Molecule: ribosomal RNA, 245 nt
Filed under: uncultured Verrucomicrobiota bacterium
Lineage: Bacteria; Pseudomonadati; Verrucomicrobiota
Description: uncultured Verrucomicrobia bacterium partial 16S ribosomal RNA
Rfam family: Bacterial small subunit ribosomal RNA
Source: RNAcentral
UACAGAGGUGGCGAGCGUUGUUCGGAUUUACUGGGCGUAAAGGGUGCGUAGGUGGUUCUGUGUGUCGGUUGUGAAAUCCCACUGCUCAAUGGUGGAACUGCAAUCGAAACUGCGGAACUUGAGUGCAUGAGGGGAGAGCGGAAUUCUUGGUGUAGCGGUGAAAUGCGUUGAUAUCAAGAAGAACACCGGUGGCGAAGGCGGCUCUCUGGAAUGUUACUGACACUGAGGCACGAAAGCUGGGGGAG